RNAcentral lists this ribosomal RNA (497 nucleotides) under uncultured bacterium. RNAcentral describes it as "partial 16S ribosomal RNA". It matches the Rfam family "Bacterial small subunit ribosomal RNA", at positions 28 to 507 of the family's 1533-position model. The record is from RNAcentral.
GAUGAACGCUGGCGGCGUGCCUAAUACAUGCAAGUCGAGCGAACGGACGAGAAGCUUGCUUCUCUGAUGUUAGCGGCGGACGGGUGAGUAACACGUGGAUAACCUACCUAUAAGACUGGGAUAACUUCGGGAAACCGGAGCUAAUACCGGAUGAUAUUUUGAACCGCAUGGUUCAAAAGUGAAAGACGGUCUUGCUGUCACUUAUAGAUGGAUCCGCGCUGCAUUAGCUAGUUGGUAAGGUAACGGCUUACCAAGGCAACGAUGCAUAGCCGACCUGAGAGGGUGAUCGGCCACACUGGAACUGAGACACGGUCCAGACUCCUACGGGCGGCAGCAGUAGGGAAUCUUCCGCAAUGGGCGAAAGCCUGACGGAGCAACGCCGCGUGAGUGAUGAAGGUCUUCGGAUCGUAAAACUCUGUUAUUAGGGAAGAACAUAUGUGUAAGUAACUGUGCACAUCUUGACGGUACCUAAUCAGAAAGCCACGGCUAACUACGUG